UGUAACUCUCAGAUUAAAGAAUAUGUACAAUGUUCAGUGGCUUAAUGCAUAUGUUAUUAAUUAAAUUUUCUAACUGGUUGCAGUUGUAGCAGUGCAGUCUUGUCAGAGGCUGUAAUUGUAGGAACUCUGCUUGAUUUUCCAAAAUUGUGUUAGUUACUAUCGCUCUUUGAUGAAAAAUGCAAGAAGCCGCGAGUGAAGACAACCCUUCUGGAAGUGAUUUAAUUAAGUCCCAUGGUCCAGAUACACAGUUAAUUGCUGAUAUAAGCAAGGAAAAAAUUCCAGAUGACAUUGUUCUUAUUUCUGAAGCUAUUCAAGCAACUGACAAGGAAUGGUAUUCAGUUCUCAAAUCUGCG
Protopterus annectens (West African lungfish) is the source of this 353-nucleotide long non-coding RNA. RefSeq lists it as uncharacterized. The transcript is spliced from 3 exons. The record is from RefSeq and is a predicted model, not a curated record. Lineage: Eukaryota; Metazoa; Chordata; Ceratodontiformes; Protopteridae.